ACUACGGAGAGUUUGAUCCUGGCUCAGGACGAACGCUGGCGGCGGGCCUAACACAUGCAAGUCGAACGAGAAGCUCCAGCUUGCUGGAGUGGAAAGUGGCGAACGGGUGAGUAACGCGUAGGCAACCUGCCCUCAGAUGGGGAAUAACUAUCCGAAAGGAUAGCUAAUACCGCAUAACAUCUUCUGACCGCAUGGCCGGAAGAUCAAAACCCUGGUGUCUGAGGAUGGGCCUGCGUUGGAUUAGGUAGUUGGUGAGGUAACGGCUCACCAAGCCUGCGAUCCGUAGCUGGUCUGAGAGGAUGAUCAGCCACACUGGCACUGAGACACGGGCCAGACUCCUACGGGAGGCAGCAGUGAGGAAUAU
Molecule: ribosomal RNA, 364 nt
Filed under: Rhodothermales bacterium
Lineage: Bacteria; Pseudomonadati; Rhodothermota; Rhodothermia; Rhodothermales
Description: bacterial SSU rRNA
Rfam family: Bacterial small subunit ribosomal RNA
Source: RNAcentral